Hyaena hyaena (striped hyena) is the source of this 466-nucleotide long non-coding RNA. RefSeq lists it as uncharacterized. Lineage: Eukaryota; Metazoa; Chordata; Mammalia; Carnivora; Hyaenidae. The transcript has 4 exons. The record is from RefSeq and is a predicted model, not a curated record.
CAGCCCAGACUCCUGAACUCCAGGCUUGUUGAUCUAACUGCUUCCCCUGUAACUCUGCUCGAUGUCUACUGCCUAGACCAAACUCCGGUGCUCUCCUUGAUGUCUCAUUCUUCCACUUUUACAUCCAAUCUGUGGCAGCCUGGGCCAGAGCCUCAGCGCAAACUGAGUGCAAACUACCCAUAACCAUGUGUAAAUCUUCACAGAGCAGAAGGAAGAGGCCAACUUUGCAGCAGAAGUCCAAGACCUUUCUGCCCCCUGGAAUACUUUACCUAUCUGCAACAUUGGAGAAGAGCGUGUGUGACUAUAUCAUGAGGAUGGAAGCGAAGCUCGCAGCAAUUACUGGGAUUUCCUUGGUUCAUGGAGUUGGCCGGAUGCAAGAUGGAGCCACUUCGUACCUGCUGUCCACACGGGCAUGACAAUUCACUGUAUUUCCACACUUAGAAUGUUCCCUUCUGCCAAUAAUUCU